RNAcentral lists this unclassified non-coding RNA (21 nucleotides) under Chlamydomonas reinhardtii. RNAcentral's name for it is "small RNA Cre_2487". Lineage: Eukaryota; Viridiplantae; Chlorophyta; Chlorophyceae; Chlamydomonadales; Chlamydomonadaceae. The record is from RNAcentral.
UCAGCACCUCCUUGUCGGCGG